Long non-coding RNA from Homo sapiens (human), 2241 nucleotides. NCBI's taxonomy places the organism in Eukaryota, Metazoa, Chordata, Mammalia, Primates, Hominidae. The record is from Ensembl.
UUUCCCUGGGAGGAGUUCCCUGUUUACCCUCCCUUGCUGGGGAGAAGGCAGAGCAUCGCAGGGGACUUGGCCUCACAAAGGACACAGUGAGAUGAGUCCUUCAGGGCAGGGCUGCCAGGAAACAGCCAUAGCUUUGCUGGAAGAGGGACAGGAGACAAUGACAAUUGAUCGAAGCCUCCAGCCCCUCCUGGGAGAGUUUGGCUGUUUCUUUGGCCUUGUCCUGAUCUUUCCUGGACUCACCUCUGUCAUCCAGCUGGAUUUGCAGUGCUGGCUCAAAUUGCUACUUGAAACCAGGGCCAGACCAGGCAUGUGGGCACCUCUGGCGAGCUUGUAACUUGACAUGCCAUCAAAAUAAGGCACUUUAAAUGUUUGCACAAUGAAAACUUACUAGGGCCAGACAGAAAUGACAAACAGAUUUCCUUUAUUAUUCCUUUUCAUUGGCCAAGCAAUUCAUGUCCAAAAAAAUUUUUAAAUCAAAAUAUCUAGUAAAACAUGCUCCAUUAUUUUCAAUAAUUCUCCUUCUCUUAAGAUAUCUUUCCUGUAGUUUCUUAAAGGAGGUAACUCUUAGGAGGCAUAUCCAAUAAUUUGAAAUAUAAACAACAAAACUCAUUCUUAAUUCAUAGCACCACAUUGUACUUUGUUUCCAAAAUUUCUACUGGCCUCAGCUGUCAGCUUUUAGCAUAUGUAAAUGCACGUGAACACAACUAAUGCUCAGAGAAGGAUGGAAAUUCUACCUAAGUGAGAAAAACGAAUGGACUCUUCUUCCUUCCUUCCUUCCUUCUUCCUUUCUUCCUUCUUUCCUUUCUUCCUUCCUUCCUUCCUUCUUCCCUCCCUCCCUCCCUCCCUUUUCUCUUUCUUUCUCUCUCUGUUGUUUUAUCUGCUUGUUUUGUUUGUUUGUUUACGUACUCCAGGUCUUACCCACCAAGGUCAGAGUAACAGUCAUUUAUACCCACACAGUAAGGUGAGGAAGGGUUUGGGGGACCUGAGUUAGCCAGGUAGAUAUUGGUGACAGUUUUGUGCCAUCAGACAGCUGCCCAGCAGGCACAUCCCCUUCUUUAUCUGUUUUAGAAGAAUCUUCCUCCCUUUCCUUCCACUCUGGCUCCCACCCUCACCCAUGACUCUUCCUCUUCACUCUAAUUCUUGGACAACUGUGCACAGUCUGGGCAUGUCUCCUAUGAUGAGUUCCUGAACGCAUUCUUGCUACUUCAACAGCUAUAAAGUGUGUGUUUGGGAAGCAGGAAUGUUGGAUACCUGGAUUCAAACUCGCCCAGCCUGAAUCCAGGCUCAGCUUCCUCCUAGCUGUGUGGCCUUGACAAGAUGGUGGGAAAGAAAGGGGCCAGAGAACACAAGAGACAAGCACCCCCGCUGUUAAGGCCUCUUCGUUCCAGGGUUGGAAGGAAGACGCUCCACAGCGAUCUUCAGGGCAGAGUCACCCUGCUGUUCUGACAUCCAUCAAGCCGGGCCUGACUUCUCAAGAUUGCUGGCUGUCCCAAGAGAGCAGGUGGCAUAGGCAGUAUCCACAGGUCCAACUCUCUCCCAGGAGAAGAGAUUCGAAGCAGGGAUCUGCCACCUUUCUGACAAGCAAAGGAAGCAACCAAAGCCUGCAAGGAAGACCAAACUGUCUACUAGAAUAAUUAAGGUCAGAAAGAUCACAAUUCCACCAAGGAGAGAAAACAUAAAGACCCUUGAAAUACCUGCUGUGAUUUGGGAAAUGAUUUUGUGUAGAUUUUCUAGUAGGAAAAUCCAUGCUGAGAUGUAGAGAGAAGAGAAUUAUGAACAGAAAAAAAACAUGUGUGACUCGCAAGGUAGUGGCAAAGAUAAUUCUAGUAAACAGGGUUAAAAUAAUAGAAGAGCUUUUGACUAAUACACCCGGGGAAAAGAGAUACUGAAGUGAAAACGGGUCCACAAAUAAAUCAGGCUGGGCAUGAAAUUAAUGAUGGGUCUGAAAUGGCCGAGAUAUUGAACUCAUUCUUCAAACCUGUCUUCCGCAAUAGAAAUGAAAAGAAAAAUACAGACAAUGAGGAAGCGAUAGAAACCUUCUGAAAAUAACUCCUGGCACAAGCAGAAGCACGACCCCUCGGAACAUCUAAGUGCCACCCUGAACAGGUGUAGACAUGCCCCUUGGGGGAUAUGAGGAAUUGAUUAGGAUCUACUGUACAUUUAGAAUAGUGUCUGAAAACGGCAUCAUGGAGCUAUUAUUGUUAUUUUAAAUAAAUAAAGUUAGAGAUGGUUCUGAAAGAA